RNAcentral lists this ribosomal RNA (458 nucleotides) under uncultured bacterium. RNAcentral's name for it is "SSU rRNA". It matches the Rfam family "Bacterial small subunit ribosomal RNA", at positions 26 to 518 of the family's 1533-position model. The record is from RNAcentral.
AGAAUCAACGCUGGCGGCGUGCCUAACACAUGCAAGUCGAACGAGAAAGGGGAGCAAUCCCUGAGUAAAGUGGCGCACGGGUGAGUAACACGUGACUAACCUACCCUGGAGUGGGGGAUAACUGAGGGAAACCUUAGCUAAUACCGCAUAACACCUACGGGUCAAAGGAGCAAUUCGCUUUGGGAGGGGGUCGCGGCCGAUUAGUUAGUUGGCGGGGUAAUGGCCCACCAAGACAGUGAUCGGUAUCCGGCCUGAGAGGGCGCACGGACACACUGGAACUGAAACACGGUCCAGACUCCUACGGGAGGCAGCAGUGGGGAAUUUUGCGCAAUGGGGAAACCCUGACGCAGCAACGCCGCGUGGAGGAUGAAGUACUUCGGUACGUAAACUCCUUUCGAUCGGGACGAUAAUGACGGUACCGGAAGAAGAAGCCCGGCUAACUUCGCGCCAGCAGCCGC